RNAcentral lists this ribosomal RNA (252 nucleotides) under uncultured bacterium. Its description in RNAcentral is "partial 16S ribosomal RNA". It matches the Rfam family "Bacterial small subunit ribosomal RNA", at positions 524 to 776 of the family's 1533-position model. The record is from RNAcentral.
UACGUAGGGGGCAAGCGUUGUCCGGAAUUAUUGGGCGUAAAGCGCGCGCAGGCGGCGGAUUAAGUCUAGUGUAUAAGGCCGAGGCUCAACCUCGGUUCGCACUGGAAACUGAUGCGCUUGAGUGUAGGAGAGGAAAGUGGAAUUCCACGUGUAGCGGUGAAAUGCGUAGAGAUGUGGAGGAACACCAGUGGCGAAGGCGACUUUCUGGCCUAUAACUGACGCUGAGGCGCGAAAGCGUGGGGAGCAAACAGG